RNAcentral lists this ribosomal RNA (458 nucleotides) under uncultured bacterium. Its description in RNAcentral is "bacterial SSU rRNA". It matches the Rfam family "Bacterial small subunit ribosomal RNA", at positions 30 to 471 of the family's 1533-position model. The record is from RNAcentral.
AUUGAACGCUGGCGGCAGGCCUAACACAUGCAAGUCGAGCGGAAACGAGUUGUCUGAACCUUCGGGGAACGAUAACGGCGUCGAGCGGCGGACGGGUGAGUAAUGCCUGGGAAAUUGCCCUGAUGUGGGGGAUAACCAUUGGAAACGAUGGCUAAUACCGCAUAAUAGCUUCGGCUCAAAGAGGGGGGACCUUCGGGCCUCUCGCGUCAGGAUAUGCCCAGGUGGGAUUAGCUAGUUGGUGAGGUAAGGGCUCACCAAGGCGACGAUCCCUAGCUGGUCUGAGAGGAUGAUCAGCCACACUGGAACUGAGACACGGUCCAGACUCCUACGGGAGGCAGCAGUGGGGAAUAUUGCACAAUGGGCGCAAGCCUGAUGCAGCCAUGCCGCGUGUGUGAAGAGGCCUUCGGGUGUAAAGCACUUUCAGUCGUGAGGAAGUAGUGUAGUUAAUAGCUGCAUUA